This 468-nucleotide ribosomal RNA is filed under the name uncultured bacterium. RNAcentral describes it as "partial 16S ribosomal RNA". It matches the Rfam family "Bacterial small subunit ribosomal RNA", at positions 28 to 507 of the family's 1533-position model. The record is from RNAcentral.
GACGAACGCUGGCGGCGUGCUUAACACAUGCAAGUCGAACGGAAAGGCCCUGCUUUUGUGGGGUGCUCGAGUGGCGAACGGGUGAGUAACACGUGAGUAACCUGCCCUUGACUUUGGGAUAACUUCAGGAAACUGGGGCUAAUACCGGAUAGGAGCUCCUGCUGCAUGGUGGGGGUUGGAAAGUUUCGGCGGUUGGGGAUGGACUCGCGGCUUAUCAGCUUGUUGGUGGGGUAGUGGCUUACCAAGGCUUUGACGGGUAGCCGGCCUGAGAGGGUGACCGGCCACAUGGGGACUGAGAUACGGCCCAGACUCCUACGGGAGGCAGCAGUGGGGAAUAUUGCACAAGGGGCGGAAGCCUGAUGCAGCAACGCCGCGUGCGGGAUGACGGCCUUCGGGUUGUAACCCGCUUUCGCCUGUGACGAAGCGUGAGUGACGGUAAUGGGUAAAGAAGCACCGGCUAACUACGUG